AAAACAAUCCUACGGGAGGCAGCAGUGGGGAAUAUUGGACAAUGGGCGCAAGCCUGAUCCAGCCAUGCCGCGUGAGUGAUGAAGGCCUUAGGGUUGUAAAGCUCUUUCGCCGACGAAGAUAAUGACGGUAGUCGGAGAAGAAGCCCCGGCUAACUUCGUGCCAGCAGCCGCGGUAAUACGAAGGGGGCUAGCGUUGUUCGGAAUCACUGGGCGUAAAGCGCACGUAGGCGGAUUGUUAAGUCAGGGGUGAAAGCCUGGAGCUCAACUCCAGAACUGCCUUUGAUACUGGCAAUCUCGAGUCCGGAAGAGGUAAGUGGAACUGCGAGUGUAGAGGUGAAAU
Molecule: ribosomal RNA, 340 nt
Filed under: uncultured bacterium
Lineage: Bacteria
Description: bacterial SSU rRNA
Rfam family: Bacterial small subunit ribosomal RNA
Source: RNAcentral